AUUGAACGCUGGCGGCAGGCCUAACACAUGCAAGUCGAACGGUAACAGGAAGCAGCUUGCUGCUUCGCUGACGAGUGGCGGACGGGUGAGUAAUGUCUGGGAAGCUGCCUGAUGGAGGGGGAUAACUACUGGAAACGGUAGCUAAUACCGCAUAAUGUCGCAAGACCAAAGAGGGGGACCUUCGGGCCUCUUGCCAUCGGAUGUGCCCAGAUGGGAUUCGCUUGUUGGUGGGGUAACGGCUCACCAAGGCGACGAUCCCUAGCUGGUCUGAGGGGAUGACCAGCCACACGGGAACUGAGACACGGUCCAGACGCCUACGGGAGGCAGCAGUGGGGAAUAUUGCACAAUGGGCGCAAGCCUGAUGCAGCCAGGCCGCGUGUAUGAAGAAGGCCUUCGGGUUGUAAAGUACUUUCAGCGGGGAGGAAGGGAGUAAAGUUAAUACCUUGGCUCAUUGACGUUACCCGCAGAAGAAGCACCGGCUAACUCCGUG
Molecule: ribosomal RNA, 490 nt
Filed under: uncultured bacterium
Lineage: Bacteria
Description: partial 16S ribosomal RNA
Rfam family: Bacterial small subunit ribosomal RNA
Source: RNAcentral